AGAGUUUGAUCCUGGCUCAGGAUGAACGCUGGCGGCGUGCUUAACACAUGCAAGUCGAACGAUCCUUCGGGAUAGUGGCGGACGGGUGAGUAACGCGUGGGAAUCUGCCCUCAGGAGGGGGAUAACGGCUGGAAACGGCCGCUAAUACCCCAUAUGCCGAGAGGUGAAACGAAUUUCGCCUGAGGAUGAGCCCGCGUCUGAUUAGCUAGUUGGUGGGGUAAAGGCCCACCAAGGCGACGAUCAGUAGCUGGUCUGAGAGGAUGAUCAGCCACACUGGGACUGAGACACGGCCCAGACUCCUACGGGAGGCAGCAGUGGGGAAUUUUCCGCAAUGGGCGAAAGCCUGACGGAGCAACGCCGCGUGAGGGAUGAAGGCCUCUGGGCUGUAAACCUCUUUUCUCAAGGAAGAAGACCUGACGGUACUUGAGGAAUAAGCCACGGCUAAUUCCGUGCCAGCAGCCGCGGUAAUACGGGAGUGGCAAGCGUUAUCCGGAAUUAUUGGGCGUAAAGCGUCCGCAGGCGGCCUUGUAAGUCUGUUGUUAAAGCGUGGAGCUUAACUCCAUUUAAGCAAUGGAAACUACAAGGCUGGAGUGUGGUAGGGGCAGAGGGAAUUCCCGGUGUAGCGGUGAAAUGCGUAGAUAUCGGGAAGAACACCAGUGGCGAAGGCGCUCUGCUGGGCCAUAACUGACGCUCAUGGACGAAAGCCAGGGGAGCGAAAGGGAUUAGAUACCCCUGUAGUCCUGGCCGUAAACGAUGAACACUAGGUGUCGGGGGAAUCGACCCCCUCGGUGUCGUAGCCAACGCGUUAAGUGUUCCGCCUGGGGAGUACGCACGCAAGUGUGAAACUCAAAGGAAUUGACGGGGGCCCGCACAAGCGGUGGAGUAUGUGGUUUAAUUCGAUGCAACGCGAAGAACCUUACCAGGGUUUGACAUCCUGCGAACCCCUGAGAAAUCGGGGGGUGCCUUCGGGAGCGCAGAGACAGGUGGUGCAUGGCUGUCGUCAGCUCGUGUCGUGAGAUGUUGGGUUAAGUCCCGCAACGAGCGCAACCCACGUCUUUAGUUGCCAGCAUUCAGUUGGGCACUCUAGAGAGACCGCCGGUGAUAAACCGGAGGAAGGUGUGGAUGACGUCAAGUCAUCAUGCCCCUUACAUCCUGGGCUACACACGUACUACAAUGCUACGGACAAAGGGCAGCAAGCUCGCGAGAGUUAGCAAAUCCCAUAAACCGUGGCUCAGUUCAGAUCGUAGGCUGCAACUCGCCUACGUGAAGGAGGAAUCGCUAGUAAUCGCAGGUCAGCAUACUGCGGUGAAUACGUUCCCGGGCCUUGUACACACCGCCCGUCACACCAUGGAAGUUGGCCAUGCCCGAAGUCGUUACUCAAACCCUUGUGGAGGAGGACGCCGAAGGUGGGGCUGAUGACUGGGGUGAAGUCGUAACAAGGUA
Molecule: ribosomal RNA, 1443 nt
Filed under: metagenome
Description: bacterial SSU rRNA
Rfam family: Bacterial small subunit ribosomal RNA
Source: RNAcentral